This 99-nucleotide small nucleolar RNA is filed under the name Sorghum bicolor (sorghum). RNAcentral describes it as "snoRNA snoR99". It matches the Rfam family "Small nucleolar RNA snoR99". The record is from Rfam by way of RNAcentral. Lineage: Eukaryota; Viridiplantae; Streptophyta; Magnoliopsida; Poales; Poaceae.
GUGCCUGUGGGAUGAACAGGUCCCCAUAGUUACUACCAUUUUCUCACUUUGUCAGCUAUUACAUAUGUUAUUAGCUGAUCAUUUAAGAAUGGGAAAUGU